RNAcentral lists this long non-coding RNA (1289 nucleotides) under Cyanistes caeruleus (blue tit). Its description in RNAcentral is "lncRNA (ENSCCEG00000019492.1)". Lineage: Eukaryota; Metazoa; Chordata; Aves; Passeriformes; Paridae. The record is from RNAcentral.
AAGUGUUAGAGAAGCUUUUAAAUUUUGCUGUUGCGUUCACAGAGUUUAAGAAAUAUAUUAAUGACCCUGAGCUGAACUUUUACCUGUUACAGGUGGUCUGUGGCUGUGGUUUUGAGGUCCAUAUCGUGUGGGACCAGAGGCAGAGAUCUCCCUGUGCAGUCAGUGCAGAGGAUGUUGGAUUUCCUGUGCCCACCUGUCUCUGGCUGGAUCCAGCUCCCAAGAGUCCGUGGGAUCUGUGUGGAUGCCACUUGGUUGGUUCUGUGAAGAAAAGCUUCUUCCAGUGUUUCAUUUCCUCUCUGCUUUUCAGUGCUGCAGCUAAACACAAGCUAGAUUUCCACGGAGAGGCUGUGGGGUGUCCCACUUCUUGAAGACUACAGAAGAAUGCCAAAGGAAUUGAAAACAAGCAGCAAAAGCUUUAAAGUGUUCAAAAUAUUCUACCAGCUAUCUCAGAAUUUGCAGGCAGAUGGAAACAGAGCCAAAAGCGAGUCUGAGAAAUACUGACAGAAGAAAUUCUUAAGCAGCUUCUUUCUUCUUUAUAUUCAGAUUGUUAAACAAGGAUAUUUGAACUUUCUGUGCAUGGAAAAACACAGAGGGAAUCUGAUGGAUAUUUCUAUUUUAAUUUGAAAGACUACAGUAUAUCAGGGGAACAUGUGGGAAAGAAAUAUUAUGGAAGUGUGUAAUCUAUUUUAAGCUAACCUACUGUAGUAAGUGAAAAUGAGUGGAAAAAUAAUUGUGGCGGACUCUGAAUCACUUUAACACCAACACUGACUCACGUGUUUUGAAAUUGCAUAUUCUGCCUCAUCCACAUUCUACCUCCUUCCUGUUCUGGGGCUGUACUGAAUGUCUGGGUAAUACCCAUUGAUGCAGAUAAUGGUACUGCCACUUUCACCUUCCAAGCUCUGUUUCUGUGUUGAUCCUUGGCCAAAAUUCCUUCCUUUGGUAUAUUUAAUACAGGAGAUGCCAAAUACUUGCCAUUUUGCCUGUGUUUCAUUUACACUUAUUCCAUUUUGUCUUUGCAGGUAAAUAAUGAUGUGAAUUACCGGGGUUGCAGGGGGAAACUGGUGUUAAUGAAAUGCAAAAUUUAGCCUUCCUUGGCUUUGUUUUGAAUUACUGUUUUUCAUUUUAAUUAGAUUUGCAGCAGACUUCUACUUAAAAUGAAUACUUUUUUCUCUUAUUUUGUGACAAUCUCAGUAAUUACUUUUCUGGAUUUGUACUUUGGAAAGUUCUGUGUUUGGGUUUCUUUCUCUCACUGCCUCCUUCACAGGUUUCUGGAGUGCCUGGCUCCAUCA